Molecule: ribosomal RNA, 420 nt
Filed under: uncultured bacterium
Lineage: Bacteria
Description: bacterial SSU rRNA
Rfam family: Bacterial small subunit ribosomal RNA
Source: RNAcentral
UAAGGAAUAUUGCUCAAUGGGAGAAAUCCUGAAGCAGCAACGCCGCGUGAAGGAUGAAGGGUCUAUGACUUGUAAACUCCUGUAAAGAAGGAAAAAAUUCCCAUUAGAUGGGAGAUGAUGGUACUUCUGGAGUAAGCCCCGGCUAACUACGUGCCAGCAGCCGCGGUAAUACGUAGGGGGCAAGCGUUGUCCGGAUUUACUGGGUGUAAAGGGUGCGUAGGUGGUUUGAUAAGUCAGCGGUGAAAGUUUGCAGCUUAACUGUAAAAAUGCCGUUGAAACUGUCGGACUUGAGUGUAAAUGAGGUAGGCGGAAUGCGUGGUGUAGCGGUGAAAUGCGUAGAUAUCACGCAGAACUCCGAUUGCGAAGGCAGCUUACUAAGCUACAACUGACACUGAAGCACGAAAGCGUGGGGAUCAAACA